This 912-nucleotide long non-coding RNA is filed under the name Equus caballus (horse). RNAcentral describes it as "lncRNA (ENSECAG00000057058.1)". Lineage: Eukaryota; Metazoa; Chordata; Mammalia; Perissodactyla; Equidae. The record is from RNAcentral.
GUUCUUAAUAGUGGAAAACCUUCCCCAGCUGUGGUCAGAGGGAGACGUUACUAGGGAAGAUUGGUUAGAGGGAUGCAGCGAUGCUGGCUUUGGAGAUGGAGAAAGGGCCGUCUCCGGAAGCUGGAAAGGCAAGGAAAUGAAUCCUUCCGCGGACCCUUCAGCAGGGGAGCAGGCCUGUUGACACCCUGAUUUUAGCCCUGGAAGACCUGUGUCAGACUUCUGACCUACAGAACUAUCUUAUCCCCUGCUGGACAGCAAAGGGAGUGAACCUCCUCUACCUUACGAACGCAGAGCAUGCCCGUCAAGAGCCACCACCAGCGCUGAAUGGAGAUGGUGGAAAAAUGACUGUGUUUAUCUGGACUUCCUGCCAACGAACGCUGGACUCCUCAUGCCUGGAUUUGGACGCCAACCACCUGCCUUCUAACACCUUCCUCUAUUGCCUCUUGCUCAAGAACCCAUGAAGGUGUAUGCUGUGUGAAAACAGAAAUCGUGUGGGUUUGCUGCUGUCUCCCCUGUGCCCAGCAAAAUGUUCAGCUCAUGGAGGCACUUUACAUAUUUGUGGAAUGAAAAAUGAAAACGAUCAAAGUUCUAAGAGAAACAAGCAAGUUUCCACAGAAUUUACUAUAGACACUUCCCAUUACUCAUCAUGAUGCUUUCUUGGGAAAAUGGCACCCAACUCAAAGGCAUUAACAUUUAAAUUCUAACAAGGUUACUGUAUUGAAAAGCUUUAUUUUAUUUCUCUAAAAGCUAAGCAACUUAGAAGAGUUGAUCGCUUGCUGCUCCCUCCACCAUUUUAACUUUCCACCCACCACAUCUCAACCUGCUGAAAUCCGGCUUUUGUCCCCAUUGCUGUAUUUCCAACGUGUCUCACUAAGGUCACCAAUCACCUCCUAAUUGAUAAAUAAACUGGAA